AGUUAAUGAGACACAGCAAGUAUAAAAUAUCACAGCAUUCAAUAUUAUUGAAAAAAAUACUGCAAAUUGCACAGAAGCUUAUUUCAUGUUUAAUCUUGUUAGACGCCAAGUGCGUGUGCGUGUGCGUGUGCGUGUGUGUUCUUGGACAGUAUUUUUUUCCAGAAAACAGGGGAAUUCUGGUGAACAAAACAACCCUGAAAUUCAACUAAAAUCUUGGGGGAAAAACUGUGGACAGAAGUCUGAACGAAGAAUGCAAAAGGAUGCAGCUUGAAUUCUUCAGUGAUAAAUUCAUACCUUAACUUUUUUGGGAAUCGGACUGGAAAAACACGCACAACACACAGUGCAGACUGCGGAUGAGGUUUAUAUAGAAAGGAUGAGAGGAGGAUGUAAAUUGCAAAGCAGGUUUGCUAAGACAGAUUUGAGUUUCGGCAAAUCCAUAAAUGACACGUACAAAAGUAAUAGGCAU
Molecule: long non-coding RNA, 466 nt
Filed under: Olea europaea subsp. europaea
Lineage: Eukaryota; Viridiplantae; Streptophyta; Magnoliopsida; Lamiales; Oleaceae
Source: RNAcentral